UCCAAAUUGAGCAUGCCAAGAAGGCUGCCGGCCUGCCAUUUGAUGAGGUCCAGAUGACUGCUGUCCUGAAAUGCUAUGGGAUACUAAUGGCUGCUGUUCCCCCCUUUGAGAGGGCAAAGGCGGGGGCGUGCCCUCCCCAAUUAGAUAACANNACUGCUGCCCUGCCAUUUUUUGAGGUCCAGAUGACUGCUGUCCUGCAGUGCUAUGGGAUGCUAAUGGCUGCUGUUCCCCCCUUUGAGAG
This 241-nucleotide unclassified non-coding RNA is filed under the name Hevea brasiliensis (rubber tree). Lineage: Eukaryota; Viridiplantae; Streptophyta; Magnoliopsida; Malpighiales; Euphorbiaceae. The record is from RNAcentral.